CUUCCGUAGGUGAACCUGCGGAAGGAUCAUUACAGAAUUUUGAGAAUUGUGCUUAACUGCACUUUUCUUAUCUACACACGUGUUUUUGUUUUAUUCUUAAAACUUGCUUUGGCAGUGGCUGCUUAAUUGCUCUGCUGCCAGAGGAUAAACUCAACCUAAAUUUUUUAUUUUAAACUAGUCAACUGAUUAUAUUUAUUAAUAGUCAAAACUUUCAACAACGGAUCUCUUGGUUCUCGCAUCGAUGAAGAACGCAGCGAAAUGCGAUAAGUAAUAUGAAUUGCAGAUAUUCGUGAAUCAUCGAAUCUUUGAACGCACAUUGCGCCCUCUGGUAUUCCGGAGGGCAUGCCUGUUUGAGCGUCAUUUCUCCCUCAAACCCCCGGGUUUGGUGAUGAGCAAUACGCCAGGUUUGCUUGAAAGUUAGGAGGAGUAUUUAUAACAAUGUAUUAGGUCUAACCACUCCAUUGUGCUUAAUAAAAGCUCCAAUCUAUAUUUCAAACUUCGACCUCAAAUCAGGUAGGAUUACCCGCUGAAC
RNAcentral lists this ribosomal RNA (532 nucleotides) under Lodderomyces elongisporus. RNAcentral's name for it is "eukaryotic LSU rRNA". The stretch from base 207 to 360 matches the Rfam family "5.8S ribosomal RNA". The record is from RNAcentral. Lineage: Eukaryota; Fungi; Ascomycota; Pichiomycetes; Serinales; Debaryomycetaceae.